CCUUAAUACCUACUGAAUUAUUUUAUUCUAAUAUAAAAGUAAUUAUGCUAGAACUAGUAACAAGAAAUUGAAUUUCUCCUAAAUGUAAGUAUAAACCACAACGGACCGUCCACUGGCAAUUAACGUCUAUGUACCCCCUAUAACACCCCCCGCUCAAGAAAACCCUAUUAACUUCAACGUUAACCUUACACUAGAACAUUCCAGGAAAGAUUAAAAAAGAAAGAAGGAACUCGGCAAAUUUUAGCCCCGCCUGUUUACCAAAAACAUCGCCUCUUGACACAAUAUAAGAGGUCUAGCCUGCCCAGUGACAGAGUUUAACGGCUACGGUAUCCCUGACCGUACGAAGGUAGCAUAAUCACUUGUCCCUUAAAUAGGGGCCUGUAUCAACGGCAUCACGAGGGCUGCACUGUCUCCUCUCUUCAAUCAGUGAAACUGAUCCUCCCGUGAAGAAGCGGGAAUUCAUUUAUAAGACGAGAAGACCCCAUGGAGCUUUAAGCAAGCUCUCACACUAUCAACACAUCUUUUAACUACAAGCUCUGAGUGCAAGUUUUAGGUUGGGGGGACCGCGGAGAACAACUAAACCUCCGUGACAAAUAGCCCUAAGCCCUUAUCUACGAGCAACAGCUCUAAGAAUCAGUACACUGAUGAUUAUGACCCGAUACUAUUCGACCAACGAACCAAGUUACCCUGGGGAUAACAGCGCAAUCUACUUCGAGAGCCCAUAUCGACAAGUAGGUUUACGACCUCGAUGUUGGAUCAGGGUAUCCUUGUGGUGCAGCAGCUAC
This 785-nucleotide ribosomal RNA is filed under the name Amnirana amnicola (Ilanga frog). RNAcentral describes it as "partial 16S ribosomal RNA". It matches the Rfam family "Bacterial large subunit ribosomal RNA", at positions 1241 to 2565 of the family's 2925-position model. Lineage: Eukaryota; Metazoa; Chordata; Amphibia; Anura; Ranidae. The record is from RNAcentral.